This 85-nucleotide unclassified non-coding RNA is filed under the name Butyrivibrio sp. Su6. The record is from RNAcentral. Lineage: Bacteria; Bacillati; Bacillota; Clostridia; Lachnospirales; Lachnospiraceae.
AAGCGCCGUAUACCGAACGGUACGUACGGUGCUGGUGUGCCAUGCAAGGCACACAGAAGAUGAAGGUAGGUCCUUCGACAGGAAU